AAAAUUUCAUGUCCUGUAUUUCUCAGUAAAUGAAGCCAGCACCAACCUGUGGAGUGGAGUCCAGGAGAGAGCAUGCCGCCCCUCAGCUAAACCAGAUUAGAUGAAGCCAGCUGCAACCCGUAGAGUGGAGUUGUGGAGAGAGCCCCUCGCCCCUCAGCUAAACCAGAGUAAAUGAAGCCAGCACCAACCUGUGGAGUGGAGUCCAGGAGAGAGCAUGCCGCCCCUCAGCUAAACCAGAUCAGAUAAAGCCAACUGGAACCAUAUUUUUACAUAUUUUAUAUUAAAUAUAUUGAAUAAAACUACAUAUGAUAAAGAAAGUGUUAUCUUAUCUUUUUUAUAUGCUAAACUUGAUUAAAUUGGUGAUUACAUGUUGAA
Long non-coding RNA from Entelurus aequoreus (snake pipefish), 375 nucleotides. RefSeq lists it as uncharacterized. The record is from RefSeq and is a predicted model, not a curated record. Lineage: Eukaryota; Metazoa; Chordata; Actinopteri; Syngnathiformes; Syngnathidae. The transcript has 4 exons.